RNAcentral lists this ribosomal RNA (498 nucleotides) under uncultured bacterium. Its description in RNAcentral is "partial 16S ribosomal RNA". It matches the Rfam family "Bacterial small subunit ribosomal RNA", at positions 30 to 523 of the family's 1533-position model. The record is from RNAcentral.
AUUGAACGCUGGCGGCAUGCCUUACACAUGCAAGUCGAACGGUAACAGGUCUUCGGAUGCUGACGAGUGGCGAACGGGUGAGUAAUACAUCGGAACGUGCCUAGUAGUGGGGGAUAACUACUCGAAAGAGUGGCUAAUACCGCAUGAGAUCUACGGAUGAAAGCAGGGGAUCGCAAGACCUUGUGCUACUAGAGCGGCCGAUGGCAGAUUAGGUAGUUGGUGGGAUAAAAGCUUAGCAAGCCGACGAUCUGUAGCUGGUCUGAGAGGACGAUCAGCCACACUUGGACUGAGACACGGCCCAGACUCCUACGGGAGGCAGCAGUGGGGAAUUUUGGACAAUGGGCGAAAGCCUGAUCCAGCAAUGCCGCGUGCAGGAUGAAGGCCUUCGGGUUGUAAACUGCUUUUGUACGGAACGAAAAGCCCCGGGUUAAUACCCUGGGGUCAUGACGGUACCGUAAGAAUAAGCACCGGCUAACUACGUGCCAGCCGCCGCGGUAA